RNAcentral lists this ribosomal RNA (400 nucleotides) under uncultured bacterium. Its description in RNAcentral is "bacterial SSU rRNA". It matches the Rfam family "Bacterial small subunit ribosomal RNA", at positions 355 to 752 of the family's 1533-position model. The record is from RNAcentral.
UAAGGAAUAUUGGGCAAUGGACGCAAGUCUGACCCAGCCAUGCCGCGUGAAGGAUGAAGGUCCUCUGGAUUGUAAACUUCUUUUUUCUGGGGCGAAAACCAGCCUUUCUAGGUUGUUUGACAGUACCAGAAGAAUAAGCACCGGCUAACUCCGUGCCAGCAGCCGCGGUAAUACGGAGGGUGCAAGCGUUAUCCGGAUUCACUGGGUUUAAAGGGUGCGUAGGUGGGUUGGUAAGUCAGUGGUGAAAUCCCCGAGCUUAACUUGGGAACUGCCAUUGAUACUAUCAAUCUUGAAUAUUGUGGAGGUAAGCGGAAUAUGUCAUGUAGCGGUGAAAUGCUUAGAUAUGACAUAGAACACCAAUUGCGCAGGCAGCUUGCUACACAAUGAUUGACACUGAGGC